GAUCCCUUAGCUCAGUGGUAGAGCGUGUGAUUCCAGCUUUGGUUUGUUCGUCCACAAGGUCAAGCGUUCAACUCGCUUAGGGAUCA
Armillaria novae-zelandiae is the source of this 86-nucleotide non-coding RNA. Lineage: Eukaryota; Fungi; Basidiomycota; Agaricomycetes; Agaricales; Physalacriaceae. The record is from the annotation of a GenBank genome assembly.